GGUAGGAUAGAAGCCUACCAUGGUUUCAACGGGUAACGGGGAAUAAGGGUUCGAUUCCGGAGAGGGAGCCUGAGAAACGGCUACCACAUCCAAGGAAGGCAGCAGGCGCGCAAAUUACCCAAUCCCGACACGGGGAGGUAGUGACAAUAAAUAACAAUACGGGGUUCUUUCGGAUCUCGUAAUUGGAAUGAGUACAAUUUAAAUCUCUUAACGAGGAACAAUUGGAGGGCAAGUCUGGUGCCAGCAGCCGCGGUAAUUCCAGCUCCAAUAGCGUAUAUUAAAGUUGUUGCAGUUAAAAAGCUCGUAGUUGAAUUUCGGGAUCAAUAUGUUGGUCGUGCCUUGGUACGUACUGGCGUCAUUGGUUUCUACCUUCUGAAGAACCUCGAUGUCAUUAAUUUGGUGUCUUGGGGAAUCAGGACUGUUACUUUGAAAAAAUUAGAGUGUUUAAAGCAGGCUCACGCUUGAAUACAUUAGCAUGGAAUAAUGAAAUAGGACGUUUGAUUCUAUUUUGUUGGUUUCUAGGAUCGACGUAAUGAUUAAUAGGGAUAGUUGGGGGCAUUAGUAUUCAAUUGUCAGAGGUGAAAUUCUUGGAUUUAUUGAAGACUAACUACUGCGAAAGCAUUUGCCAAGGAUGUUUUCAUUAAUCAAGAACGAAAGUUAGGGGAUCGAAGACGAUCAGAUACCGUCGUAGUCUUAACCAUAAACUAUGCCGACUAGGGAUCGGAUGAUGUUAAUUUUUUAAUGACUCAUUCGGCGCCUUACGGGAAACCAAAGUGUUUGGGUUC
Molecule: ribosomal RNA, 785 nt
Filed under: uncultured Glomus
Lineage: Eukaryota; Fungi; Glomeromycota; Glomeromycetes; Glomerales; Glomeraceae
Description: SSU rRNA
Rfam family: Eukaryotic small subunit ribosomal RNA
Source: RNAcentral